This 1913-nucleotide long non-coding RNA is filed under the name Citrus x clementina. RNAcentral's name for it is "Citrus clementina (C. clementina) long non-coding RNA (CCLE_LNC000384)". The record is from RNAcentral. Lineage: Eukaryota; Viridiplantae; Streptophyta; Magnoliopsida; Sapindales; Rutaceae.
AGAAAAAAAUAAGAGUAGGUUGAUAAAUUAUUUUUCCUUCUUAACAAAAAUAAGGAGUAAAUUGAAACUUUUAAAAGUGAAAUGGAUGAUUUAAAAAUAAUUAAUUUACGAGAGAAAUAAUCUAAAAAUAAUCCUAUUUAUUAUGUACUGUCUAGCCACUUAAUAGUCAAGUUAAGAAUUAAGGGAUUGUAAUAAUUGAUGGAGACAAUACUUAAGUUACAUCUGAUGUAACUUCUAACUAGUUAACUUUAUGUGUUGGGAUAAAAUUUAAUAAUUAAAAAAUAAUUUACGAAAAAUAAGUGUGGGUCACAAGUAAAUUAGCUUGGUUUGAUGGACUAUAAGAUAGCAAGACCCGUUCAUGGAAGGGACAUUGGUUAUCAUAUAGCUGUGACACGCAAAAGAAGAAGAUGAAAAUAUGAGUAGACGAUUCAUUAAAAGUGAAAGAGAAGUGUACUUUUGGGCUUUGCAUGCGAGUAUUCGUGUGUUGGACAAAGACAAAGCUCAUUUAUAUUUACUCUUGGAAGCAUGUAAGCGGCAUGCUUCCCAACUUUUACGCUUAAACCAUAAUAAUCUUUUAGAAAUAUUAACUUAAACACUAAGGUGGCGUUUGUUUUUUUAUCUAAAAUCUGAAUAGACCUUAAUUAGUCUAAAUUCUGAAUAGAUCUGAAUGUCUGAAUCUGAAUAAUAUGUUUAUUUUUUCGUCUGAAUCUCGAAAAAUAAGUAUUAAGUUGUUUGUUUUUUUCAACUGAAAAAGCUGAAAAUAUGUACUUUUACAUUUGUAUCCUUAUUAAAUUUGAAUGUCAAAUAAAUAAUAUAUUAAAUACCAUAAUAUUUUAACAUUUAUAAGUAAAACUAUAUUCAAGUGAAUACAUAAUUAUUUUAGAAUUUUAAUAUAUAAAAUACCAUAAAUUUUAAAAUUUUAUCGUAUAUAAUAUAAGAAAGAAAAAAUAAGGAUAUUUUUAUGUAGGGUAAAUGUCUAUGGGUGAAUUUUGGGAUAGACAUGAAAAAUAAAUUAUAAAACAUGGAUAUUUUUUACAUUAGUAAGUAAUUGACUUAAUUCAAAUUUCUCCAUUAAGUAAAAAGUUAAAAAAAUUAGCUUAUUUUAUUAAGUCAAGAGUAUUUAAAAAGUUUCAUUAAGUUAUAAAAAUAAACACCUCUAAUUAAUUUAAUUAAUUAUGUUAAGCCACUUUAAGUCAUUAAGUUAAAAAACAAACGCCACCUAAGUCAUUCUUUAUUUUUAAAUUCUUUCGGAGUUACCAUGAUUAAGUAGGACACCACAACCACUAGUUUCCGAUUUCAACAGACAUAUGAGUAUUUUGGCAACUCCAUGUGUCAACUUUUUCCUUUUUUUUUAAGUAGGAAAAUUAUCAAUUGUUUAUCUAAAGUCUAGCGAAAGUUAAGAAUUACUUAAAAUCCUAAAAAAUAUCAGUGUGAGGUUUAAAAUUUGCAACAUAAUCAAUUGGUCUAAAAUAAAGAAUGAGGAAUGAUUGGUGUAAAAAGAAUGAUAACAUUAUUCAUGUAAGUUUCUCUAUGGUUCGUGAGGAUAAGAUUUUUUGGUAUAGAAAGAAUAUAAAAUGAGGUUACGAGGCCAAUCUAUGGUAUAUUGCACUCAAAGAAGCCUAAAAAGUUAAACUAAGCUUCAUGAGCUUACUUGACAUCUAGAUAUCCUUUGGAGUAUUUUGAGAUUAUAAAAAACACACAUUGGAUCGGGUAAAAUAUGGUUUAAUUUCUAUAUUUUGAGAUUAAUACCUAUUUAGUCUUUAUAUUUUUAAAAAUACCUCAAAAUAUCUUUAUCGUUAAGUGUUGACAUCCUUAUUGGUACUUUUUUUUACUUACUUUUACAAUAUUACCCUUGUACAAUAAUAUUUCUUCUUUAUUGGAAAUUAAUAAAAAAAUUAAAUUAUCAAUUUAAC